RNAcentral lists this long non-coding RNA (615 nucleotides) under Capsella rubella. RNAcentral describes it as "long non-coding RNA (CRUB_LNC001998)". Lineage: Eukaryota; Viridiplantae; Streptophyta; Magnoliopsida; Brassicales; Brassicaceae. The record is from RNAcentral.
ACCACCGAAUUUGUGUUACAAUCGAAAUUAGAUUACAAAUUUAACUUCUUAAUUUUAUAUUUCUUUUUUGUUAAUUUUUUUUUAAAUUUAAGGCACACGUUAAUUAUAAGGGGAGUUUGGUCAACAAUCAUUGACUACACUAACAUGUGACACGUGUCGUAUGAUGAGAGGAUCGACGGUGGUCAUCAGUUGUAUUAUUAUUAUUAUUUUUUAAAAAGGCCGUCCUAUUUGAUCUCACGUAAACAAAAAAGUCAAUAAUGUUUCUCCGACAACGAAGGCAAUUAUCCACAACGCUCAUGUGCAUUGUCUCUUACGAAACUCUCCUUUGCUGUUAAUCAGCCACGUGUCGUUUUAUCUUAACAGCUGAGCACAGAGACGUCGGUGUGCUGAGAAACACAUGAUCAUCUGUAUUUUUUUCCUUAAAAUCCUUGUCCGGAGAGCUGUGUGGUUUCAAAAUAUUUUUUUUUUUGGUUCAAAUUAUUUAUUUGUCUUUUUUUUUCUUUCUGAAAUAAGCUUUUUAAUUUUCAUUUUUAAAAAAUUUUGAUGGUAUAAAUAAAUGAUCAUAAAUCAGUAACUAAUGCAAAUGCAAUAACAAGAAAAAGGGACUUCGGAAAU